AUGAACGCUGGCGGCGUGCCUAAUACAUGCAAGUCGAGCGAACAGACGAGGAGCUUGCUCCUCUGACGUUAGCGGCGGACGGGUGAGUAACACGUGGAUAACCUACCUAUAAGACUGGGAUAACUUCGGGAAACCGGAGCUAAUACCGGAUAAUAUAUUGAACCGCAUGGUUCAAUAGUGAAAGACGGUUUUGCUGUCACUUAUAGCUGGAUCCGCGCCGCAUUAGCUAGUUGGUAAGGUAACGGCUUACCAAGGCGACGAUGCGUAGCCGACCUGAGAGGGUGAUCGGCCACACUGGAACUGAGACACGGUCCAGACUCCUACGGGAGGCAGCAGUAGGGAAUCUUCCGCAAUGGGCGAAAGCCUGACGGAGCAACGCCGCGUGAGUGAUGAAGGUCUUCGGAUCGUAAAACUCUGUUAUUAGGGAAGAACAAAUGUGUAAGUAACUAUGCACGUCUUGACGGUACCUAAUCAGAAAGCCACGGCUAACUACGUG
Molecule: ribosomal RNA, 496 nt
Filed under: uncultured bacterium
Lineage: Bacteria
Description: partial 16S ribosomal RNA
Rfam family: Bacterial small subunit ribosomal RNA
Source: RNAcentral